Molecule: long non-coding RNA, 1751 nt
Filed under: Hordeum vulgare
Lineage: Eukaryota; Viridiplantae; Streptophyta; Magnoliopsida; Poales; Poaceae
Description: long non-coding RNA (HVUL_LNC002925)
Source: RNAcentral
UUAUUUGCAGAGUUUUGGAUACGCUAAUGCUUCUGCUGAAAACUCUAUGCUGAGUCACGACAACACUCGGACAAUGAAUGGUAACCAGUGUACAACCACGGUAAACUUCCUUUCUAAUUUUUCCUUUCAUUGCUAAUGCAUGAGAUUUUUUUUUCUUCAAAUUGUACAAUGUACACUUACACUUCCAAUGUACACUUCCGUUCUACUCUGUAGCAAUGCAGAUGUUUUUUUUUAAUAUCAACGAGUAGUGGAAACAAUCCUCUAAUCUGCUUAGGCUCAUCGAGGAAUUCCUACUCCUAUCUUUUCAAUAAUAUGGUUGCAUGCAUCAUUAUGAUGCGGAGGCUACGGGCAUUCCUCCUUUUCAAAAAAAUAAAUAAAUCUUAAUUUGUUGAUCGAACCUCAUAAUCCUACUAUUCAUUUGGCUUGACAAAUUUAUCAAUAUAGCAAUUUUUUCUAUUUGAGCUUUACUAUGAUCAUAGUAUCGUUAGGGUUGCAGUGAUUUAUUAUUGAAACUGAAAUGACUUACACAUCAUUACCUUACAUCAUUACCUCAUGUUUCCAGCUUCUUCCUGAACCGGACGCUCCUGCUGAUGAGAUGUCAACGCAGAAUGACGCCCUCUUUACUUCGUUUUGCAAUGACUUGGAUCCUUUACCACCCAAUCAGAAUGUCACGGUACGAUAACUUGGAUCCUUUUCACUGCUACAAAUGCUUACGUUCUGCUACAAAUAACUUGAAUUUUAGCUCCAUACAUGAAAACGACGGAACAGUUAUAAUUUUAAAUCCUCUGUAGCAAUGAUAUGGUAGCAUUUCCGUGACCCCACAAGGGAAAAGGACUACAUGUGAUCUUACCCUAAACUUGGCUUGCACCAAUCAACUUACAGAUUACAUAAGAAGCUCACAUGAUGGUUUGUGUUGUAUAAAGCAAUUAUAAUACCUAAGCCAGCUUAUAUUCUUCAAAUCACUUCUAACAGUUCGGUUUGUUGAUUGAUUAUAACUGCUUACAGCUGCCUUCCAUGUAACAUAAAUAAUAACAGCCUAAAUUUGAACAGACUAAUCACAGCGAGACAUUGCUGGAACCUUCUCCUCCGGGUGAGCCUUAUUGGCCAACUGAACAGGAUUAUUAUCAAGAUGGGCAAUCCAACUGGUGGUGAGGUAUGUGUGCUCUACCAUGCUUGUUGGCCCAUCAGCUACUUCCUCUGUCUCAGUAAAGUUACAUAUUUCUACGGGGUCUUAGUAAAGUUACAAAUUUCCCGGCAAAAAAGAGAGUAAAGUUACUACUCCUUCCGAUCCAAGAAAAAGUGUCGUGGUUUUGGUUCAAAUUUAAACUAAAACCACAGCAUUUUAUUUUGGAUCAGAGGGAGUAAUUGUUUCUCAAUGCCAAAAAGAAAUAUUAAUUACCAGAUCAGAAGUUAAUUGACAAACCAACCUAUAUGGUUUGGUCCUACCUCCAGUUUCCAAAAUUUCGUUUGCAUUGGUCGAUGGCGAGCAAGAUUUUAAGCAUGCUGACUAUAUUGCAGGAAACAAGAUAAAAUGCCGAGAGAUUUGAGGAUACUGACGUGUAGAGAUGCUGUGGCCUGUGAGAACUUCCUUUCAAAGACAAUAUGAUCCCUGGAGUACGAUCCCUGGAGUACUUCCUUCUACAAGUGUCUUCCACAUGAACAACCCUACUUAGAAGUUAAUAAAAGCUUUUAUCCUUUGGCCUCAUUAGUUGCCAUAGAGUUUUGAGAGUUGUGGUGAUAUGCCAUAGAAG